RNAcentral lists this ribosomal RNA (500 nucleotides) under Streptomyces sp. JF-1. Its description in RNAcentral is "bacterial SSU rRNA". It matches the Rfam family "Bacterial small subunit ribosomal RNA", at positions 97 to 611 of the family's 1533-position model. The record is from RNAcentral. Lineage: Bacteria; Bacillati; Actinomycetota; Actinomycetes; Kitasatosporales; Streptomycetaceae.
GGCGAACGGGUGAGUACACUGUGGGCAAUCUGCCCUUCACUCUGGGACAAGCCCUGGAAACGGGGUCUAAUACCGGAUAAUACUCCUGCCCGCAUGGGUGGGGGUUGAAAGCUCCGGCGGUGAAGGAUGAGCCCGCGGCCUAUCAGCUUGUUGGUGGGGUAAUGGCCUACCAAGGCGACGACGGGUAGCCGGCCUGAGAGGGCGACCGGCCACACUGGGACUGAGACACGGCCCAGACUCCUACGGGAGGCAGCAGUGGGGAAUAUUGCACAAUGGGCGAAAGCCUGAUGCAGCGACGCCGCGUGAGGGAUGACGGCCUUCGGGUUGUAAACCUCUUUCAGCAGGGAAGAAGCGCAAGUGACGGUACCUGCAGAAGAAGCGCCGGCUAACUACGUGCCAGCAGCCGCGGUAAUACGUAGGGCGCAAGCGUUGUCCGGAAUUAUUGGGCGUAAAGAGCUCGUACGCGGCUUGUCACGUCAGAUGUGAAAGCCCGGGGCUUA